UCCAACCAUUGGAGUGGUUGCAGAUGUCGGAGGAGAUGCCCAUGCCAUCCAAUAGUUGCUUGCUACCUGAAAUAUUUGGAAGAAUGACUGUGCGGCUAUUGUUAGUGGCACUAAGGCUCCACCAUGAACUGCCCUCAGGAGUUGCAGUCUUCAAUCUUUGUCUCCACCAUCUGAUUUUCUUGAACAGAAAUUGAGCCGAUAUACUCAUGAUGAAUAUCAGUUGUAUCAGUGCAAAAGUGGUCAUCCAGAAGCAAGGAUCAGGAAAGCAGAAUUGAAAAGGAAAAUGGGGUGAAGGAGAACGGUAUGCGGUGUAACUGCGUUCGUGGAUAUGCUGAAGAAAAGAACCAGACGCAUGCAGAUGCAGAUGCUGAGAUUAAUCCCGGACGAAGAGUUACCUGAGGAAUCAUCGAGCAAGCCCCCGCGGAUAAACAUCUUGGGGAUCCUCGCGAGAACCGGGAGCUGCAGGCUCCCUCUCUCCAUCGUGUCUGCCCAAUGAGCGAGCGAGCGAGAGAGAGAGAGAGAGAGACCAAGAGAGGGAUGGAAUUGGAGGGAGGGAGGAGAGAAAUAGAGGGGGGAGGCGGUGGUGAACUGGUGACGGUUUAUAGUGGAGGUGGAGACUGGAGACGCCGCCUGAGACACCCCUGAUGGUUGCGCUUUUGGCGUGUCAUGGUGCCCGCAGAUCCCGAUCAUGCAGUUUUUCGCCGGGCGCGCCCCGCACGGCCCGUAGGAAAAACGCCGCUGCCUAUCAGUAUUUUACUUAUGCUAAGAAUUUGUUUUUGACUGUACAGUGUACACUAAACAGUUGGAUUGCAAAUUUGUACAUAAUCAGUUCAGCAAAUUAAUGCAAAGAUAUGUUUUGCUAAUUUUGCUGGUACAA
Molecule: long non-coding RNA, 877 nt
Organism: Setaria italica (foxtail millet)
Lineage: Eukaryota; Viridiplantae; Streptophyta; Magnoliopsida; Poales; Poaceae
Exons: 3
Source: RefSeq, a predicted model, not a curated record